UCCAGCUUAUCGCUGGCGGUCUCCUGAGAGUGCACCUUUCGGUUAGCAACACAGGACAAGGGUUGCGCUCGUUGCGGGACUUAACCCAACAUCUCACGACACGAGCUGACGACAGCCAUGCAGCACCUCGACUCCUGUCCCUUGCGGGAAAACUUCUGUUUCCAAAAGUCGUCAGAAGCCGUUCGAGCCCAGGUAAGGUUCUUCGCGUUGCGUCGAAUUAAACCACAUGCUCCACCGCUUGUGCGGGCCCCCGUCAAUUCCUUUGAGUUUCAGCCUUGCGGCCGUACUCCCCAGGCGGGGCACUUACUGCGUUAGCGACGGCACCGGGAGGGUCGCUCCCCCCGACGCCUAGUGCCCAUCGUUUACGGCGUGGACUAC
Molecule: unclassified non-coding RNA, 378 nt
Filed under: uncultured bacterium
Lineage: Bacteria
Description: contains 16S-23S intergenic spacer region
Source: RNAcentral